This 72-nucleotide transfer RNA is filed under the name Paenalicyclobacillus cellulosilyticus. RNAcentral describes it as "Alicyclobacillus sp. 'Sueoka' tRNA". It matches the Rfam family "tRNA". From Rfam's summary of the family: Transfer RNA (tRNA) molecules are approximately 80 nucleotides in length. Their secondary structure includes four short double-helical elements and three loops (D, anti-codon, and T loops). Lineage: Bacteria; Bacillati; Bacillota; Bacilli; Caryophanales; Alicyclobacillaceae. The record is from Rfam by way of RNAcentral.
GGCCCCAUGGUCAAGUGGUUAAGACACCGCCCUUUCACGGCGGUAACGGGGGUUCGAGUCCCCCUGGGGUCA